RNAcentral lists this unclassified non-coding RNA (375 nucleotides) under soil metagenome. RNAcentral's name for it is "partial contains 5.8S ribosomal RNA, internal transcribed spacer 2, and large subunit ribosomal RNA". The stretch from base 1 to 120 matches the Rfam family "5.8S ribosomal RNA", at positions 35 to 154 of the family's 154-position model. The record is from RNAcentral.
GAUGAAGAACGUAGCAAAAUGCGAUAAGUAAUGUGAAUUGCAGAAUUCAGUGAACCAUCGAAUCUUUGAACGCACAUUGCGCCCGGCAGUAAUCUGCCGGGCAUGCCUGUCCGAGCGUCAUUUCUCCCCUCGAGCGCAGCUUUCCCCCCCGGGGGAGGGCCGCGCCCGGUGUUGGGGCGCUACGGAGGAGCCCAGCGCUCCCCCGUAGGCCCCGAAAUGUAGUGGCGGUCCCGCCGCGGCGCCCCCUGCGUAGUAGUUUUACAACUCGCAUCGGGUCCCGGCGGAGGCCAGCCGUCAAACCCCCCAACUUCAAUAGUUUGACCUCGGAUCAGGUAGGGUUACCCGCUGAACUUAAGCAUAUCAAUAAGCGGAGGA